AAAAAACAAAAGGGUCUUCCCCUUUCUCUGCUAGGGUUCCAAACUUGGAACCCCGCCGCCGUCUGCCGCAUCUCCAUCGCAGCGCCACCAAGGACGGUGGCCGGAGUCGUGCGAGAAAAAGGGAUUUUUAACCCUCAUCGUGUGGCAUCCUUGAGAUCUCAGAUCUCUCAACCCGCGGGAAAGAGGGAAACCCACAACCCCUCUCGGACCCGAAUCGGCGACGGAGGAGAAGCCCUCCGACGGCGCAACCACGGUGGUUCCCGGUGAGUCCCCUUUCCCUUUUUAUUUUCUAUUUAAUGUACGAAAUAAAGAAAAUAAAAUAAAUAAAUAAAGAAAUGCGAAUCUGAUAUCAAGCCUUGAAUCUAUUUUUUUGAUUGUUUUAUUUAUAUGAAAAUGUUACAAAAGAAAAGAAAAAGCCCCCCGAUUCAGUGAUGAAGCCCCCUCUUACAAUCAAAAUCCCUAUAUUCUACUGCUAUUGUGUCUUUUCUUUUGUAGGUGGAGCAGGUGAGGGCGUCGGUGGCAAGUGGGCAUGGUGAUGGGACGUAUGCGGCGGCCAGCAGAGCUAGGGUGCAGAGGGCUGCAGCGCUAGGGUUUCUUUUCUGAAACCCUAGCUUGACUUUUGGGGAAUUGGGCUCCGAAUUUGGGCCUCGGGUUUGGGUUAGGCUAGUUGGGUUUAUUGUAUUGGGUUGUAACUGGAAUUGGAUCAUUUGGGUUUGGGUGGUUUGGGCUGAGUCUGUUGGGUUAUUGGGCUGAUGUUUGUUAGUUUAGGGUUAAUUGGGCCCAGGCAUAAAAAUUGGGCUUGUACA
RNAcentral lists this long non-coding RNA (806 nucleotides) under Gossypium barbadense (sea-island cotton). Its description in RNAcentral is "long non-coding RNA (GBAR_LNC017462)". The record is from RNAcentral. Lineage: Eukaryota; Viridiplantae; Streptophyta; Magnoliopsida; Malvales; Malvaceae.